UUGUACAUGUGCUGAGUGUUGUUGACUUGUUAAUGUGGUGUUGCCUUCAAAGACAAGCUGUAAACUGACACGGAGAAUUUAUCACUGGGCAGAUUGACUCAGACAUCCCAUCCAUUCACAAAGCUUGCAUAUGACAAUGGAAGGAAGUUGUCUUGGGAAGGAGGAGAAUCUCAGCCACCUACAAGACAGAUGGGCAUACAUCUACCACAGUUUAUUUUGUGCCAGGUUUAUGGCUUGGGUAUUUCCUGUAUUCCAAAUGAAGAGAUUUGCUGUUCCUGAGAGGAAAGGUUUUUCCCUAUGGAAGACAAUUUUUUGGCAAGUCUAGCAGUUUCUAACCUGCCAAAUAGUUGUGAUGGGAUGUCGGUGUUCCCAGAAAAGUGUUCAGUGCCUUUUAUUUGAAGAAUUGGAAAUAGAACUCAAAGGCAAGAUAAAGUUUAGACAAGAACCUUUUACAGCUUCACCAGCAUCUCUUCAGCUAAAGACCUAAUAAGCAAACAGGUAUGAAUCUUAGUCUUCUGCUUGCCACAAACUACUGGUAUUGUUGUUUUGUUUAAUC
This 556-nucleotide long non-coding RNA is filed under the name Anser cygnoides (Swan goose). RNAcentral describes it as "lncRNA (ENSACDG00005003978.1)". Lineage: Eukaryota; Metazoa; Chordata; Aves; Anseriformes; Anatidae. The record is from RNAcentral.